AUCAUCAGUAGUGGUUAUACUAUACUUAUUAUAAUAUAACUUACUUUACUAUAAAGACUAUGGCGAGUCUUACUGGUAGUAUAUCAUAGAUGUAUACUAUUUAAGACUUGUCUUAUUUAUUAACCCAAUAGCUAAGUAUUUUGAUUGACCUUGCUAACAACUCGGCCACAGUCAAUACUUCGUUUCGGUCUUUUAGAUUAAUAACGGCAUUU
This 212-nucleotide non-coding RNA is filed under the name Candida albicans. RNAcentral describes it as "Small nucleolar RNA snR37". It matches the Rfam family "Small nucleolar RNA snR37", at positions 1 to 275 of the family's 385-position model. Lineage: Eukaryota; Fungi; Ascomycota; Pichiomycetes; Serinales; Debaryomycetaceae. The record is from Rfam by way of RNAcentral. RNAcentral also lists the same sequence under 1 other name.